RNAcentral lists this long non-coding RNA (506 nucleotides) under Homo sapiens (human). RNAcentral's name for it is "non-protein coding lnc-RMDN2-9:1". Lineage: Eukaryota; Metazoa; Chordata; Mammalia; Primates; Hominidae. The record is from RNAcentral.
UUUCCCUCAAAAUAGUCAAGCUUCAGAUGGGGGGAAUGGAAGUGUGUAGAUAAAACCAGACUGCGUAUGUGCUGAUAACCAUUUAAACUGGGUGAUGGGUACAUGAAACUUCAUUACACUAUUCUCUCUACUUUCAUGUUUGAAAAUCUUCAUAGUAAUGUCUUUAAACAUCCUUUUAAAUCUGCCAGGCUAUAGGUAGAUUUAAAGGAUAAGGCUUCCAUGAGAUUAGAGGAUUGUUUGAAAGGAAACACUGCAGUCAAUGAACUGAAAGGAAGCCAUAAAAUCUAGAUUUGGGAGGUAGUAAUGACAUAGUAGAAGGGUAUGACUUAUGAAUGAGUAGACAUGGAGGACAGGAGGUCUUUUGGGGGCUGAAGAAAUCAAGGGAUGGGAUGGGUCAUUCAUGUGGCAUUAAGGAUCCAAGAAUGACCACAGAAGGAACAAGAGAAAAAGGCUGGAAGCCAGGUGCCAGAGUUAUCAACGAAGGAGGAGGGGUGGUAGGGAGGUCA